RNAcentral lists this ribosomal RNA (458 nucleotides) under Cynopoecilus melanotaenia. Its description in RNAcentral is "partial 12S ribosomal RNA". It matches the Rfam family "Bacterial small subunit ribosomal RNA", at positions 875 to 1533 of the family's 1533-position model. Lineage: Eukaryota; Metazoa; Chordata; Actinopteri; Cyprinodontiformes; Rivulidae. The record is from RNAcentral.
GAAGAUUACAAGCACAAGCUUAAAACUCAAAGGACUUGGCGGCGCUUUAAAUCCACCUAGAGGAGCCUGUCCUAUAACCGAUAAUCCCCGUUAAACCUCACCCCCUCUUGCUCUCAGCCUAUAUACCGCCGUCGUCAGCUUACCCUGUAAAGUCUAUUAGUAAGCAAAAACGGUUCUGCCCAAAACGUCAGGUCGAGGUGUAGCUUAUGAGGGGGGAAGAGAUGGGCUACAUUUCCUGCCUAGGGUACUUUACGGAUUAUUCAUUGAAACAUGAAUAUUGAAGAAGGAUUUAGUAGUAAGCAAAAAAUAGAGCGUCUUGCUGAAACAGGCUCUAAAGCGAGUACACACCGCCCGUCGCUCUCUCCUAAAUAACUAUUCAUUUUAUAUAAAACGUUUAAACUCACAAGGAGGGAUAAGUCGUAACAUGGUAAGAGUACUGGAAAGUGCUCUUGGUCAAU